AUGAACGCUGGCGGCGUGCUUAACACAUGCAAGUCGAACGGUGAAGGCGGAGCUUGCUCUGCUGGAUCAGUGGCGAACGGGUGAGUAACACGUGAGCAAUCUGCCCCUGACUCUGGGAUAAGCGCUGGAAACGGCGUCUAAUACUGGAUACGAGCUGCGAAGGCAUCUUCAGCAGCUGGAAAGAACUUCGGUCAGGGAUGAGCUCGCGGCCUAUCAGCUUGUUGGUGAGGUAACGGCUCACCAAGGCGUCGACGGGUAGCCGGCCUGAGAGGGUGACCGGCCACACUGGGACUGAGACACGGCCCAGACUCAUACGGGAGGCAGCAGUGGGGAAUAUUGCACAAUGGGCGAAAGCCUGAUGCAGCAACGCCGCGUGAGGGACGACGGCCUUCGGGUUGUAAACCUCUUUUAGCAGGGAAGAAGCGAAAGUGACGGUACCUGCAGAAAAAGCGCCGGCUAACUACGUG
Molecule: ribosomal RNA, 467 nt
Filed under: uncultured bacterium
Lineage: Bacteria
Description: partial 16S ribosomal RNA
Rfam family: Bacterial small subunit ribosomal RNA
Source: RNAcentral